This 439-nucleotide ribosomal RNA is filed under the name uncultured bacterium. Its description in RNAcentral is "partial 16S ribosomal RNA". It matches the Rfam family "Bacterial small subunit ribosomal RNA", at positions 339 to 795 of the family's 1533-position model. The record is from RNAcentral.
CUACGGGCGGCUGCAGUGGGGAAUAUUGCACAAUGGAGGAAACUCUGAUGCAGCAACGCCGCGUGGAGGAUGACGCAUUUCGGUGUGUAAACUCCUUUUAUAUGGGAAGAUAAUGACGGUACCAUAUGAAUAAGCACCGGCUAACUCCGUGCCAGCAGCCGCGGUAAUACGGAGGGUGCAAGCGUUACUCGGAAUCACUGGGCGUAAAGCGCGCGCAGGCGGCUAGAUAAGUUGGAAGUGAAAUCCUAUGGCUCAACCAUAGAACUGCUUCCAAAACUGUUUAGCUAGAGUCUGGGAGGGGAAGAUGGAAUUAGUAGUGUAGGGGUAAAAUCCGUAGAGAUUACUAGGGAUACCAAAAGCGAAGGCGAUCUUCUGGAACAGUACUGACGCUGAGGCGCGAAAGCGUGGGGAGCAAACAGGAUUAGAUACCCCUGUAGUC